This 805-nucleotide ribosomal RNA is filed under the name uncultured marine bacterium. Its description in RNAcentral is "bacterial SSU rRNA". It matches the Rfam family "Bacterial small subunit ribosomal RNA", at positions 60 to 913 of the family's 1533-position model. The record is from RNAcentral.
AGUCGAACGAAGUAGCAAUACUUAGUGGCAGACGGGUGAGUAACAUGUAGGUAUCUGCCCUUUGGCCUGGAAUAACACGAGGAAACUUGUGCCAAUACCGGAUAAGUCUUUACGGAGAAAGCUUUAUGCACCAUUGGAUGAGCCUGCACUUGAUUAGUUUGUUGGUGGGGUAAUGGCCUACCAAGACUGUGAUCAAUAGCUGAUUUGAGAGGAUGAUCAGCCACAUUGGGACUGAGACACGGCCCAAACUCCUACGGGAGGCAGCAGUGGGGAAUCUUGCACAAUGGAGGAAACUCUGAUGCAGCGAUGCCGCGUGAGUGAAGAAGGCCUUUGGGUUGUAAAGCUCUUUCGUCGGGGAAGAAAAUGACUGUACCCGAAUAAGAAGGUCCGGCUAACUUCGUGCCAGCAGCCGCGGUAAUACGAAGGGACCUAGCGUAGUUCGGAAUUGCUGGGCUUAAAGAGUUCGUAGGUGGUUGAAAAAGUAAGUGGUGAAAUCCCAGAGCUUAACUCUGGAACUGCCAUUAAAACUUUUCAGCUAGAGUAUGAUAGAGGAAAGCAGAAUUUCUAGUGUAGAGGUGAAAUUCGUAGAUAUUAGAAAGAAUACCAAUUGCGAAGGCAGCUUUCUGGAUCAUUACUGACACUGAGGAACGAAAGCAUGGGUAGCGAAGAGGAUUAGAUACCCUCGUAGUCCAUGCCGUAAACGAUGUGUGUUAGACGUUGGAAAUUUAUUUUCAGUGUCGCAGCGAAAGCGAUAAACACACCGCCUGGGGAGUACGACCGCAAGGUUAAAACUCAAAUGAAUUGA